UAGAAAUCAGAAAUCCGCCUGCCUCU
Molecule: non-coding RNA, 26 nt
Filed under: Mus musculus (house mouse)
Lineage: Eukaryota; Metazoa; Chordata; Mammalia; Rodentia; Muridae
Source: RNAcentral